AGGUGGGCUUCCAGUUUUCUGCAAAUCUUUGGCUCCUUAUACUUAGCAGUUUUUUCUAUUUAAAAAGAGCAAAAGCAGGAGAGCACUGCCUGCAGUAAUCCUGUUUGAAAACGUGGGUACGUGUUGCUGUUGCCAUAAAUAACUACAUUCACCAGCCGCUUCAUUAUAGAUAUACAUGUGCAACUACUUAUUAGCGCAAAUAUCUAAUCAGUCAAUAACAUGGCAGCAACUCUGUGCUUUUAGGCAUGUAGACAUGGUCAAGACUGCUGAAGUUCAAACUGAGAAUCAGAACGGGGAAGAAAGAAGAUGUAAGUGAAUUUGAACGUGAUGUGGUUGUUUUCUCAGAAACUGCUGAUCUACUGAGAUUUUCCCACAAAACCAUCCUAAUGUUUAUAGAGCAUGGUCCCACAAAGCAGUUUUCUGGGUGAAAAUACAGUGGUCCUUCGCUAAAACGCGGUUCACCUUCCGCAGCCUCACUGUUUCACAAAUUUUUUUUUUGUUCAAUUUUUUUGUUUUGUUUUUUUACAGCAUAUUGUGUUCUGCGUCCUGAUCAGAGAUGGGGAGUAACGCGUUACUUGUAACGUAACGUAGGAACGCUGCGUUACUGCGUUACUAAAACCGUGAUUUUUUUGCAGAAUGUCUCAUGACAGUGACGUAAGCGAGUGCGCCGGUCGUGACAACAGCUGUGUGCAGAUCAACAAUGGAUCAUAUAUCGAGUGCGGGAGAGAGUAUGAGCGUGCAGCGUUUAAAGCGUGGAAGUACUGACCUUACUUUGAGUUUGAUUCCAUAAAAAGUGACAAAAACAUUAGCGUCCAUCGUGCGUGGGAAGAAAACUUCGUUUUAUAGUGAAAACUUCCAAGCAAGCACCGAGUGCGCUAUGACGUAAUGGGAAACUCACAGAGAAACUCACGGAUUCUUCCACUGACCGCCGCGGCACACCUGCACCAGGGUAAACCUCCGCCUACCGCGGUCCUGCUUUACAGGUGAAAAUAGAGCAACAGGACCGCUGAGUCUUUGACUUUAUUUAUUUUCUGCUGUGUUUUACUUGCAUCUAUUUGAAAGACUGAGUGUAAACACACAAAAAAAUUU
This is a long non-coding RNA of Astatotilapia calliptera (eastern happy), 1089 nucleotides long. NCBI's taxonomy places the organism in Eukaryota, Metazoa, Chordata, Actinopteri, Cichliformes, Cichlidae. The record is from Ensembl.